UGGGGAAUAUUGGACAAUGGGCGAAAGCCUGAUCCAGCCAUGCCGCGUGUGUGAAGAAGGUCUUCGGAUUGUAAAGCACUUUAAGUUGGGAGGAAGGGCAGUAAGCGAAUACCUUGCUGUUUUGACGUUACCGACAGAAUAAGCACCGGCUAACUCUGAGCCAGCAGCCGCGGUAAUACAGAGGGUGCAAGCGUUAAUCGGAAUUACUGGGCGUAAAGCGCGCGUAGGUGGUUCGUUAAGUUGAAUGUGAAAGCCCCGGGCUCAACCUGGGAACUGCAUCCAACACUGGCGAGCUAGAGUAGGGCAGAGGGUGGUGGAAUUUCCUGUGUAGCGGUGAAAUGCGUAGAUAUAGGAAGGAACACCAGUGGCGAAGGCGACCACCUGGGCUCAUACUGACACUGAGGUGCGAAAGCGUGGGGAGCAAACAGG
RNAcentral lists this ribosomal RNA (429 nucleotides) under Pseudomonadota bacterium. RNAcentral's name for it is "Proteobacteria bacterium partial 16S ribosomal RNA". It matches the Rfam family "Bacterial small subunit ribosomal RNA", at positions 355 to 776 of the family's 1533-position model. Lineage: Bacteria; Pseudomonadati; Pseudomonadota. The record is from RNAcentral.